This is a long non-coding RNA of Entelurus aequoreus (snake pipefish), 763 nucleotides long. RefSeq lists it as uncharacterized. The transcript is spliced from 3 exons. NCBI's taxonomy places the organism in Eukaryota, Metazoa, Chordata, Actinopteri, Syngnathiformes, Syngnathidae. The record is from RefSeq and is a predicted model, not a curated record.
GACCGUGCAGCCGGGGACUAUAGGAGACCGGUCUGUUCAUUGAACACAGGACAUUUGGUGCGGGUGGCAAGCGGGAUGUCUUCCUUUUGAAGGAGUAAAGCCAUGUUUGUUUACACUGUGAGGGCUUCGUUCAUUCUUCGUUCUGCAAGAAAAAAUGAGGACAUCCAAAGACAUGCUACAAGGGCUGAGCUCUGAGAGGGACAUUUGAUGGACACGUGAUUGGCCACAAGAGCAGGAGAAGGACACGCUCCACGCCUGGCAAGAUCCUGCAAGACCAAGCAGAAAGAUACAGAUACCGCUUCUUGCACCGCCUUUCAUUGGUUCAGCAAUCUUUGUUCUGCGGUCUGAUUUCUUAAAUAGCAAACAUUAGCAAGGAAAAGUACCGUCCAUAUGAGGACCGCUGAACAAGUUAGGACCGAAAUCAUGGUCCCAAUACGGAAAACCAUUGCAUCUAAUAGAGAAUGUCUCAUUUGCACCCCUGGUGGUGAAAUCUAUCAAAAUUAGGGUGGUCCCAAAAAGGAGGGAUUUUUCAAAUUGACUGUGUGUCGGGUUUAAAAGUGCUCCCCCUCUGGUCAACAUGUGAAAUAACAAGUUUGGCCAAAAUCAAUUAAAUAAAUUAAUACUUAUGUAUAUAGAGACAUACUGUAAUAACUUAAAGUAAAUAAUGAAGAUUAAAAACCAAUUACAAACAAAAAAUAAAAAUAAAAUGAAAAUAACCAAAAGCAGUCUUUUUCUCACAAUUUGUCGACAUAUUUCUUAUAAA